UACGACGGAUGCGUAGGGGUGUUAAUACCUUCCCUUCGCAUAACCGACUCCCGAUCCUUGAAAUCUCUGGUCGUGAGACCAUUUCCUUUCCAGGUUUACUUCGAGCGUUUCCUUUCCCGCCUUUGGGAUAAAUAACGCACGGUGGCGGCUCUGUGUCUUUUCCCGCCGGUUUUUCGCGUAAUGCGACAAUUUGUAAACAACUUUGAGGUGGCUAAAGAUGCUUGGAACAUUCUCAAAACCACUCAUGAAGGCACCUCUA
Molecule: long non-coding RNA, 259 nt
Filed under: Lathyrus oleraceus (garden pea)
Lineage: Eukaryota; Viridiplantae; Streptophyta; Magnoliopsida; Fabales; Fabaceae
Description: Pisum sativum (pea) long non-coding RNA (PSAT_LNC004931)
Source: RNAcentral